RNAcentral lists this ribosomal RNA (912 nucleotides) under Streptomyces sp. MSU 2110. RNAcentral's name for it is "bacterial SSU rRNA". It matches the Rfam family "Bacterial small subunit ribosomal RNA", at positions 8 to 921 of the family's 1533-position model. Lineage: Bacteria; Bacillati; Actinomycetota; Actinomycetes; Kitasatosporales; Streptomycetaceae. The record is from RNAcentral.
AGAGUUUGAUCCUGGCUCAGGACGAACGCUGGCGGCGUGCUUAACACAUGCAAGUCGAACGCUGAAGCCUGGUGCUUGCACCGGGUGGAUGAGUGGCGAACGGGUGAGUAAUACGUGAGUGACCUGCCUUUGACUCUGGGAUAAAGCCUGGGAAACUGGGUCUAAUACCGGAUGCGACUACUGCCCGCAUGGGCUGGUGGUGGAAAGGGUUAUGUACUGGUCUUAGAUGGGCUCACGGCCUAUAAGCUGGUUGGUGGGGUAAUGGCCUACCAAGGCGACGACGGGUAGCCGGCCUGAGAGGGUGACCGGCCACACUGGGACUGAGACACGGCCCAGACUCCUACGGGAGGCAGCAGUGGGGAAUAUUGCACAAUGGGCGCAAGCCUGAUGCAGCGACGCCGCGUGAGGGAUGACGGCCUUCGGGUUGUAAACCUCUUUCAGCAGGGAAGAAGCGGAAGUGACGGUACCUGCAGAAGAAGCGCCGGCUAACUACGUGCCAGCAGCCGCGGUAAUACGUAGGGCGCAAGCGUUGUCCGGAAUUAUUGGGCGUAAAGAGCUCGUAGGCGGCUUGUCGCGUCUGCUGUGAAAGCCCGGGGCUUAACUCCGGGUGUGCAGUGGGUACGGGCAGGCUAGAGUGCAGUAGGGGUAACUGGAAUUCCUGGUGUAGCGGUGAAAUGCGCAGAUAUCAGGAGGAACACCGAUGGCGAAGGCAGGUUACUGGGCUGUUACUGACGCUGAGGAGCGAAAGCAUGGGGAGCGAACAGGAUUAGAUACCCUGGUAGUCCAUGCCGUAAACGUUGGGCACUAGGUGUGGGGGACAUUCCACGUUUUCCGCGCCGUAGCUAACGCAUUAAGUGCCCCGCCUGGGGAGUACGGCCGCAAGGCUAAAACUCAAAUGAAUUGACGGAAUCG